This 253-nucleotide ribosomal RNA is filed under the name uncultured bacterium. RNAcentral describes it as "partial 16S ribosomal RNA". It matches the Rfam family "Bacterial small subunit ribosomal RNA", at positions 524 to 776 of the family's 1533-position model. The record is from RNAcentral.
UACGUAGGGUCCAAGCGUUGUUCGGAAUUACUGGGCGUAAAGCGCGCGUAGGCGGGUUUGCAAGUCGAUUGUGAAAGCCCUGGGCUUAACCCGGGAUGUGCAGUCGAAACUGUGAAUCUUGAGUGCCUGAGAGGAUGGCGGAAUUCCCGGUGUAGUAGUGAAAUACGUAGAUAUCGGGAAGAACACCUGAGGCGAAGGCGGCUAUCUGGCGGUGCACUGACGCUGAGGCGCGAAAGCGUGGGGAGCAAACAGG